RNAcentral lists this long non-coding RNA (1484 nucleotides) under Mustela putorius furo (domestic ferret). RNAcentral's name for it is "lncRNA (ENSMPUG00000028193.1)". Lineage: Eukaryota; Metazoa; Chordata; Mammalia; Carnivora; Mustelidae. The record is from RNAcentral.
UGCGCCCAUUCCCGUCCCACUUCCCCAUUCCUGGGACUGCCAGCACUGAGAGGUACCCCGGGAAGGAAGGGCGGCCGGCGGCGUCCGUAGAGGCGCCCCGCCGCGGCGGGGCAGCCCGGGCUUAGCUCCGCACGGACCCUGGCUCCACGCCGCCGGCAGCGAGAGGGUCUGCGGUCCCCUCCACCCACGUACCGGCCGCAGCGGCAAUCCACGUCUUCGCAGGCGCGCCUAAGAGCCAGCGCGACCCGGAGGCCCCUCCGUGCACGCUCGAGGGCGGGGCGGGACGGGGCCUGAGGAGCGGGCGUGCCAGGCACUGGGCGUGGCAGGCCUGGAGGGGUCCAGAACGCCGGAGCCCUCAGGCAGGGCCGGACCACCCCGGGAGAGGCGGGGCUCAGCACUGCGUCGCACUGAGCGGGGCGGGGCCUAGCAGGGAGUGCUCCAGGCGCAGACCGGAACGGCUCCGCAGAAAAAGUUGGAUCAAGAAGCUUCCACAACCACUACUGCCACCUGAUACCAGGAAGCUUGAAAAUAGACUGGAACUUGGUGCAAAGAAGUUUCCUAACUUCUACUACCUAAUCUCAAAUCAGGCACCAGUGGCUCAGAGGUGGAGCAUGACUCUCAGAAACUUCACUUUGUAGACCUAACCUGACAGUUCCAGCUGAUCCAUGGGCCUUGCUCACAUCUUGCUUUUUAUUUCUCACCUUAAAGAAAAAAAAAUAGGAGCAAAGAAAAAAAAGUAACCAAUUGUUGGAUGAUAAAUCAGAAAGUUGUCAUUUGUCUCCUAGAGCUAGUGGGACUUAGUACGUGAUCUGAAUAUAAUAUAAAAUAUAUUGUGGGUAUCAAUGAAUGAAUGAUAAUGAAAUCCCCAAAGGGGAAUCAAUCAGUUUUUUCUGGAAGCCUCCAGAAGUAUGGAGAAAUGUGUGUUAUAUUUAUCUUUGUGUUUUUUCUUCAAAUAAAAGCUGAUUAAAGUGAGGUAUCCUAUUUUUCUAAUUAAAUUAAAGCUAAAAAUUAUUAAUGUUGUCUUUGUGAACCCAAGCUCUAAAUUAUUCCUGGGAAAAAUAUGCCUUCUGCAAAACCAAAUGUUUCAGUAAUCAUUGACUCACUAGACCAUAAACUCAUUUAUGGAUAACUCAUUUAUAAGGAUAACCUUCUAACUAGCACUAUAAUUGAGGAGACAAAUAAUUGAGAGAUAAAUAUUUUUUUAUCACAAGCAAGUAGUAGAUGAUAUUUGUUGAAAUUAUGCAAUUUGUUUUAAUUUUCCUUGAUCAAAGUUUGUAAAAAAUUAAGAAGAAAUGCAUUUUUCAAGAUAUGCUCAUAGAGAGUGCCUAGGUGGCUCAGUUGUUUAAGUGUUUGUCUUCUGCUCAGAUCAUGAUCUCAGGGUCAUGGGAUCAAGCCCCACAUCUGGCUUCCUGCUCAGGGGGGAGUCUGGUUCUCCUUAUUCCUCUGCCCCUCCCUCCCCCAACUUAUGCUUUCUUACUCUCAUG